Molecule: ribosomal RNA, 264 nt
Filed under: uncultured prokaryote
Description: partial 16S ribosomal RNA
Rfam family: Bacterial small subunit ribosomal RNA
Source: RNAcentral
UACGUAGGUGGCGAGCGUUGUCCGGAUUUACUGGGCGUAAAGGGAGCGUAGGCGGACUUUUAAGUGAGAUGUGAAAUACCCGGGCUCAACUUGGGUGCUGCAUUUCAAACUGGAAGUCUAGAGUGCAGGAGAGGAGAAUGGAAUUCCUAGUGUAGCGGUGAAAUGCGUAGAGAUUAGGAAGAACACCAGUGGCGAAGGCGAUUCUCUGGACUGUAACUGACGCUGAGGCUCGAAAGCGUGGGGAGCAAACAGAAUUAGAUACCU